RNAcentral lists this ribosomal RNA (478 nucleotides) under uncultured bacterium. RNAcentral's name for it is "partial 16S ribosomal RNA". It matches the Rfam family "Bacterial small subunit ribosomal RNA", at positions 28 to 507 of the family's 1533-position model. The record is from RNAcentral.
GAUGAACGCUGGCGGCGUGCCUAACACAUGCAAGUCGAACGGAGACGCGCCGUAGAGACCUUCGGGUCGAAGGGGGGAAGACUGAGUGACGGAUGGGUGAGUAACACGUGGGUAACCUGGCUCAUAAAGGGGGUUAAGAGAGAACAAUUUCUGCUAAUACGCCACAUGCACACGCUGCCGCAUGGCCGGGUGUGGAAAGAGGAUGGCUAUGAGAUGGACCCGCGUCUGAUUAAGCAGUUGGCAGGGUAAUAGCCUGCCAUAGCGGCGGACAGUAGCCGAGUGGAGAGGAUGAACGGUCACAUUGGGACUGAGACACGGCCUCAACUCCGACGCGAGGGAGCAGUGGGGGAUACUGCACGAUGGAGGGAGAUCUGAUGCAGCGACGCCGCGUGAGUGAAGAAGUAGUUCGGUAUGUAAAGCUCUAUCAGCAGGGAAGAGAGUGACGGUACCUGAAAAAGAAGCCCCGGCUAACUACGUG